Molecule: ribosomal RNA, 253 nt
Filed under: uncultured bacterium
Lineage: Bacteria
Description: partial 16S ribosomal RNA
Rfam family: Bacterial small subunit ribosomal RNA
Source: RNAcentral
UACGUAGGGUGCGAGCGUUGUCCGGAAUUAUUGGGCGUAAAGAGCUUGUAGGUGGCUCGUUGCGUCGGGAGUGAAAACCUGCGGCUUAACCGCAGGCCUGCUUCCGAUACGGGCGAGCUAGAGUUCGGCAGGGGAGACUGGAAUUCCUGGUGUAGCGGUGGAAUGCGCAGAUAUCAGGAGGAACACCGGUGGCGAAGGCGGUCUGCUGGGCCAAGACUGACGCUGAGGCGCGAAGGCGUGGGGAGCGAACGGG